This 6468-nucleotide long non-coding RNA is filed under the name Prunus persica (peach). RNAcentral's name for it is "long non-coding RNA (PPER_LNC001299)". Lineage: Eukaryota; Viridiplantae; Streptophyta; Magnoliopsida; Rosales; Rosaceae. The record is from RNAcentral.
UAAUGCUACACUCACUGUGAACUGAAAGAACCAGAAUUGCCCAUAAUCUUGGACUUGGUGUAUGGAUUAGCUAAUGCCCUUGGACAUGGUUAGCUUGUUAUUUUAAAAGAUUGUAAUGUCUGCUGUGAAGUUUGUAAAAAUUUAACCUCCUGUUCUGCUGCUUUGCUGCAUGUUUCUGGUAGAAUUUCCAUUGAUGAAAUAAAACGUUUUGGGAAGCCAAAGAGCAUCUCUAACCCCAGGCAGCACAUUAGCAUGAACUGUACUAAUGCAUAUACCCCAAAAUAUGAAAAUAAUAAGGUUCAUGGGAACCUACAUAUAUACAUUAUUCUGAUGGCUGAUGUGUACAAAAAUGAAAAAGUAUAAGGGAGUUUUCUUCAAACUUGGGAAGAGCCAAAGAAAUUGCACAUUGCACAUGCCAAGAAAAUAAGGGUACUUAGAAACGGACUACAGAGGUAAUGAAGAGAGCAGUGAUGGUUAAAUUUGGUGGAUUAACACCAAAGAAAUCUCCAACAUGACAAAGGAAUUGUUAAAGAGGGCGGCACAAAGUUUAGUAUAGUCCAGUUAGUCACAAAUUUUAAUAAUGUUGCAGCGUCAUUGGUUGUUAGCAAAGCAAGCACAUAAUCCACAAUGAAGCCAUAUAAUAUUGCAGGGUCAUCUUGUUAGGGACAAAACUGGCAUCUUCUUUGUGUCAUAAUCUUAUACCACAUGCAUCCCAAUGAAGUAAUAAAUCCAUACGUAUCCCAAUUGGAAAUCAGUAGGUUCAGAGAUACAGCCAAAGAGAAAAAUAGCCAGGAAAAUGAGUUGGUUCAGAGAUCCAGUAAUCACUCUUUCAAGAUUUCUGCUUUUGUUCCUUCUCUUAGUUCUCAUCAAGAUCUUUCACAAACUAUGGUGGACUCCGAUUCGCAUCCAGCAUAUGUUGGCUUUGCAGGGAAUCAAGGGCCCUUCUUACAGACUUAUCCACGGAAGCACCAAAGAAAUCAUGAGCAUGAAAAAGGAAACAAUGGGAAGGCCCAUGAAUUUAUCACAUGAUAUAUUACCUGAAGUUCAACCUCAUAUUCAUUCAUGGACCAAGAUAUAUGGUAAUAAUAAACUCUUACCUAACUUGGCUUUUAAAUCUUAGUUCCGAGAAAUAAUCUGACUUUUUUUUUUCUCCAACAGGGAAGAAUUUUCUGCAGUGGUAUGGUUCUCAAGCUCAAUUAGUUAUUGGGGAACCUGAAUUGUGCAAAGAGAUACUGAAUAACAAACAUAGAGCUUAUUCAAAAAAGGGGGCCUCAAGCCUAUGUAAAGAAACUAUUAGGAGAUGGCCUUGCAUCAAGGGAAGGUGAAAAAUGGGGAAAAUUGCGAAAGCUGGCCAACCAUGCCUUCCAUGGAGAUAGCUUAAAAGUAAGUUGUGCAGACUUACAGUUACUGCCAAGUCUUGCAAAUUUUCAAACUGUAUGAUAUGGCAUUGUUGUUUGUUUUUACUGGAGUAUUGAUUCCAACAAUGACAGCUAGUGUUGAGACGAUGUUAGUAAGGUGGAAAAAACAUGAAGGCAAAGAGAUUGAGGUGUUUGAAGAAUUUAGAUUGUUGACUUCAGAAGUGGUUUCCAGGACAGCAUUUGGCAGCAGCUACUUAGAAGGGAAGAACCUUUUUGAGAUGUUGAUGAAGUUAUACUUCUUGAUAUUCAAAAAUUUGUUCAAAUUCAGGUUUCCUGGCAUCAGGUAACUUCAUUUUGUUGAAUUUCUCUAUGACUUAUCAAUUUUAAUGAUGUUCUGUUCUCAUUUCACAUGUUCAUAUCUUUCAUUCUAUGUUGCAGUAAGCUUAUUAAAACCAAAGGAUGAGGUCGAAUCAAAGAAGCUAGAGAAAGGAAUACGUGAGGGCAUAAUAGAGAUUGUCAAGAAACGAGAAGAGAAGGCGAUAAUGAUUGGAGAAACAGACAGCUUUGGGAGUGAUUUUCUUAAAGGCUCAUCAUGAUUCCAAUGAGAAGCAGAGGAUUUCGGUGGAUGAUUUGGUUGACAAAUGCAAGACAUUUUAUUUUGCUGGCUUGGGCUGUCUUUCUCCUGGCACUCCAUACAGAUUGGCAAGAGGAGGCAAGAAAGGGGAUCCUGCAAAUAUUUGGCAAACAAACUCCAAACUCUGAUGGCCUUGCCAAACUAAAAACAGUAAGAAUGUCACACAGUCAAUUGCUUGUCCAAGUGACAAAAAAAUGUUCAACUAAUAUGUAUAAAAUCCGGAUUUGUUCUCUAUUUUUCCUUUUGAUGCAUGCAAAUUGCAAUGCAGAUUGGUAUGAUCAUCAAUGAGUCUCUAUGGUUGUAUCCUCCUAUUGUUUCCAUUGCAAGGAAAGUUGAAAGGGAAGUUAGACUAGGAAAGCUCAUAGUUCCUGCUAAUGUUGAAAUAUUCAUCCCAAGUCUAGCAAUUCACCAUGAGCCUCAACUCUGGGGAGAAGAUGCGCACCUUUUCAAAUGGGAGCGAUUCUCUGAAGGGAUUGCUAAAGCCACAAAGAACAAAAUAGCUGCAUUCUUACCCUUUGGAAUGGGUCCAAAAGUUACUGGUUAUUCAACUGAUUUUGAGGGCUUAUUGGAGGAUUGUCAGAUCUGGAAACCUACUUCUAAUGGUUAUUCUCUGUCAAGUCCGCUUACAGCUUGCAUUUUUAGGGGGUAGAUUGGCUAAAUCCUUGGUAGAGAGUUCUAUGGAAGCUUCGAAUCCCUCCUAAAUUCCAAAUUUUCUUUUGGUUGGUUUUUCAAGAGAAAAUUCUCUCCAAUGAGCAGCGAAUUCGAAGACAUCUUACUGGAAAUUGUGCCUGCGAUUAUUGUAAGUGGCCUAUUGAAUCUACUUUGCAUAUCUUAAGAGAUUGUUCUAGAGCUAGAAAGGUUUGGGAUCUCUUUAUGAAUUCUACGCAAGCUUCGCCUUUUUUCCAAAUUGAUUUUCAUCCUUGGUUGUUAAACAAUUUGUGCUCAAAGGCUCACUUUGUUCAGAUUCCAUGGAGAAUUAUGUUUGUUUUUAUAUGUUGGUAUAUUUGGAAAUGGAGAAAUGACUUUAUUUUUAAAGAUGAAACUGAUUUGCCUUUUAACCCAGAGAUUUGAUUUGUACUGCUGCAAAGGAUUGGUUUCAGGCCAUUAUUAAUACUAAUAGUGGAGCUAAUAAGGUGCAAGUGUUGUUGGCUUGGGUCCCUCCUGAAAUUGGUUUGGUCAAGUUAAAUAUAGAUGGGUCUUGCAGGGGCAGUACUGGUGCCAUUGGUGCUGGAGGGGUCCUAAGAGAUCAUUUGGGUCAAUGGAUUGGUGGCUUUGCUGUCAAUUUAGGUCAGGGAGAAGUGCUUGAAGCUGAGUUGUGGGGUCUGUUUUUUGGAUUGAAUUUGGCUAUUGAGAAAAAAUUACAUGAUAUUGUUAUUGAGAUGGAUUCUGAUACUACUGUGCUUCUUAUUUAGAGUAAGGUUUUGAAUGAUUGUCAUCCUCAUGCUGGGUUGGUCAGCAGCUGUAAAAGGCUAAUGAAUCUGUUUUGAAGGAUCAAGCUUCAACAUAUCUAUAGAGAGAGGAAUGAUGUAGUUGAUGGGUUAGCUACUUGGAGUCACAAUCAGGACCUGGGCUGUUACUAUUUUGAGGAGAGUCUUGCCUGGCUUGGUUGUUUAUUGCUAAAUGAUUCUCUGGGAGCUGUUAAGGCUCGUCUGAUUAGUAGUAAUUAGUUGUUGUGUUGGUGUUUAGGGGUUUUCCCCCCUUUUCUUCAUUAAAAAAAAAAAGAAAAAAAAAAGCAAAAGGCAGAGAAUGAUGAAACAUUCAAAAUACCAGAAAAUACCCUUGGUUAAUUCAAACAUUAAGAAUUGAAAUUAUUAAUUAAAUGAGGAUAAUAUGGUAAAUUCACAUUUUUUUUAUAUUUAAAAAAUUAAAAUUAAAAACAAAAUCAGAUAAUAGGUCAUACUUUUAUGGAACAUAACUAUCCAUAUUUUAUUUUAUUAAUUCUUAAAUAAAAAAAACAAAAAAAAAACCAAUUCGCAUGUGCCAAGAAGCUAGUAUGUAUUAUGGUAGUAUUUUAUAAUUUAUACAUCGUUUUAUUUUGCAUAAUUUUAGUAUAAAUUAAUAAUUUAUAAGACUAAAUAAAAAAUAAAUAAAAGAAAUAGGCCUUACUUCCUCCUCUAGUGGUAGGCCCUGCCUACUGCCUAGCGAUUUUUCUUUAUAUACAAGUUGUUGUCUUUUUAGAUUGGGUCAAAAUUGACAGUCGUAUCUUAUACUACCCAAUUUAUUAUUACAGUAACAGAGCAAGACAAUUUAAAUAGUCAACUGAGGGAGCUGAAUAUUGAUCUGGUUCAGAAAUCUAGCAAAAGAGAAAAAAUAUACUAAAAAAAAAAUGGAUUCCUCUGGAGAAGUAGCAAUCAUUCUUUCAAGCUCUGUGUGUCUGUUCCUCUUUUUAGCUCUCAUCAAGAUCUUUCACAAGCUAUGGUGGAAACCAACAAGCAUACAGAGGCUGAUGGCUUUGCAGGGCAUCAAGGGCCCUGCUUACAGACUUGUCCAUGGAAACACCAAAGAAAUCUUCAACAUGCAAAAUGAAGCCAUGGGCAAGCCCAGAGGUUUAUCACAUGACAUAUUUUCCAGAGUUCAACCUCAUUUUCACUCCUGGACCAAGUUAUAUGGUAAAGAAACUCCUCAUUGACUAUGGUUUAUGGGUCUUUGUUCUGAAAUAACUUUGGUCGUCUUUUGCAACAGGGAAGAAUUUUCUUCAAUGGUAUGGUCUUCGACCUCAAUUGAUCAUCACGGAACCUGAGUUGUGCAAGGAGAUACUGAAUGACAAAGAUAGAGCUUAUACGAAAAGCAAGCCCAAAAGCUUUGUGAAGCAGCUACUGGGAGAUGGACUCGUGACAACAACCAACAUUGAAAAAUGGGGAAAAUUGAGAAAGGUGGCCAACUAUGCUUUCCAUGGAGAGAGCUUAAAAGUAAGUUCUUACAGUUGUUUAUGAAUGGCAGAAAAAUAAGAAAGGCAUAAAUUGAAAGUAAAUUUGUUAAUGGCAUGAUGGUAGAGUAUGACUCCGGCAACGAUAGCUAGUGCUGAGAUUAUGCUUGAAAGGUGGAAAAAUCAAGAUGGCAAAGAGAUUGAGAUGUUUGAAGAAUUUCGGUUGCUCACCUCAGAAGUGAUUUCCAGGACAGCAUUUGGCAGCAGCUACUUAGAAGGGGAGAAGAUUUUUGAGAUGCUGAUGAAGUUAUCAUUCUUAUCUUUCAAAAACAUUUUGAAACUCAGGAUUCCUGGUAUCAGGUGAAUUCUUUUUUCUUUUUCUUUUUUUCAUUUUCCCCAUCUGCUGCACAUCAAAGAACAAUUCCACAAACGAAUUCUUGGAUUAUUAGUUUAGUUCUCAUGUUUAGUCUUUCAUUGAAUAUUACAGUAAGUUUUAUAAAACAUGCGAUGAGAUCGAAUCAGAGAAUCUUGAGAAAGGAGUAUAUAACUCCAUAAUAGAGAUUGUUAAGAAAAGAGAAAAGAAGGCAAUGGCUGGAGAAGAAGAUGGCUUUGGGAGUGAUUUUCUUGGAUUACUUUUGAAGGCUUAUCAUGAUGCCAAUGACAACCAGAGGAUUUCUGUAGAUGAUUUAGUUGAUGAGUGCAAGACAUUUUACUUUGGCGGACAAGAAACUUCUAAUAGUUUGCUUGCUUGGACUGUCUUUCUUUUGGCAAUCCAUACGGAUUGGCAAGAGGAAGCAAGAAAGGAGGUCCUAGAAAUAUUUGGAAAACAAAAUCCGAAUACGGAUGGCAUUGCUAGACUAAAAACAGUAAGAAAGUCCAGUACUUAUUCAAUCGCUUCUUCAAGUGGCAUAAAUGUUCUUCAUUAACUAUGAAAUACUGAUUUCUUUUCAAAUAUUCAUUUUCAUGCAGAUGACUAUGAUCAUCAAUGAGACUCUGAGGUUAUAUCCGCCUGUUGUUGCCCUUGAGAGGGAAGCUGAAAGGGAAGUUAGGCUGGGAAACCUCAUUAUCCCUGCUGCUGUUGAACUUGUCAUUCCAUGUUUAGCAUUUCACCAUGAGCCUGGAUUCUGGGGACAAGACGUGCAUCUUUUCAAACCGGAGAGAUUCUCUGAAGGGGUUGCUAAAGCUACUAAGAAUAACAUAGCCACAUUCUUACCAUUUGGUAUGGGACCACGAAAUUGUGUGGGUUUGAACUUUGCAACCAAUGAAGUAAAGAUUGUUCUGUCAAUGAUUUUACAACGCUACUCUUUCACCCUCUCCCCGGCCUAUGUCCACUCUCCCUUUCGGCUUCUUACAGUUCGCCCUCAACAUGGACUUCAAAUAAUGCUACACUCACUGUGAACUGAAAGAACCAGAAUUGCCCAUAAUCUUGGACUUGGUGUAUGGAUUAGCUAAUGCCCUUGGACAUGGUUAGCUUGUUAUUUUAAAAGAUUGUAAUGUCUGCUGUGAAGUUUGUAAAAAUUUAACCUCCUGUUCUGCUGCUUUGCUGCAUGUUUCUGGUAGAAUUUCCAUUGAUGAAAUAAAACGUUUUGGGAAGCCAAAGAGCAUCUCUA